Molecule: unclassified non-coding RNA, 334 nt
Filed under: soil metagenome
Description: partial contains 5.8S ribosomal RNA, internal transcribed spacer 2, and large subunit ribosomal RNA
Rfam family: 5.8S ribosomal RNA (bases 1-120)
Source: RNAcentral
GAUGAAGAACGUAGCGAAAUGCGAUAAGUAAUGUGAAUUGCAGAAUUCAGUGAAUCAUCGAAUCUUUGAACGCACAUUGCGCCCGCCAGUAUUCUGGCGGGCAUGCCUGUUCGAGUGUCAUUUCAACCAUCAAGCCCCAGGCUUGUGUUGGAGCCCUGCGGCUGCCGCAGCCUCCCAAAACCAGUGGCGGGCUCGCUAUCACACCGAGUGCAGUAGUUUACUCUUCGCUCAGGGCGUGUGGCGGGUGCUAGCCGUAAAACCCCCAACUUCUCAAGGUUGACCUCGGAUCAGGUAGGAAUACCCGCUGAACUUAAGCAUAUCAAUAAGCGGAGGA